RNAcentral lists this unclassified non-coding RNA (310 nucleotides) under plant metagenome. RNAcentral's name for it is "partial contains 5.8S ribosomal RNA, internal transcribed spacer 2, and large subunit ribosomal RNA". The stretch from base 1 to 105 matches the Rfam family "5.8S ribosomal RNA", at positions 50 to 154 of the family's 154-position model. The record is from RNAcentral.
GAAAUGCGAUAAGUAGUGUGAAUUGCAGAAUUCAGUGAAUCAUCGAAUCUUUGAACGCACAUUGCGCCCCUUGGUAUUCCAUGGGGCAUGCCUGUUCGAGCGUCAUUUGUACCCUCAAGCUCUGCUUGGUGUUGGGUGUUUGUCCCCGUCUCCGCGUGUGGACUCGCCCCAAAGUGAUUGGCAGCCGGCGUACUGGUCCCGGAGCGCAGCACAUGUCGCGCAAACGAGUGCCUUGGUACGGCGGCGUCCAUAAGCCCCUCUCUCACGCUCUUGACCUCGGAUCAGGUAGGGAUACCCGCUGAACUUAAGC